Molecule: ribosomal RNA, 433 nt
Filed under: uncultured Rhodococcus sp.
Lineage: Bacteria; Bacillati; Actinomycetota; Actinomycetes; Mycobacteriales; Nocardiaceae
Description: bacterial SSU rRNA
Rfam family: Bacterial small subunit ribosomal RNA
Source: RNAcentral
AAAAAAACCACCGGCUAACUACGUGCCAGCAGCCGCGGUAAUACGUAGGGUGCAAGCGUUGUCCGGAAUUACUGGGCGUAAAGAGUUCGUAGGCGGUUUGUCGCGUCGUUUGUGAAAACCAGCAGCUCAACUGCUGGCUUGCAGGCGAUACGGGCAGACUUGAGUACUGCAGGGGAGACUGGAAUUCCUGGUGUAGCGGUGAAAUGCGCAGAUAUCAGGAGGAACACCGGUGGCGAAGGCGGGUCUCUGGGCAGUAACUGACGCUGAGGAACGAAAGCGUGGGUAGCGAACAGGAUUAGAUACCCUGGUAGUCCACGCCGUAAACGGUGGGCGCUAGGUGUGGGUUCCUUCCACGGAAUCCGUGCCGUAGCUAACGCAUUAAGCGCCCCGCCUGGGGAGUACGGCCGCAAGGCUAAAACUCAAAGGAAUUGAC